Molecule: small RNA, 125 nt
Filed under: Marmota monax (woodchuck)
Lineage: Eukaryota; Metazoa; Chordata; Mammalia; Rodentia; Sciuridae
Source: RNAcentral
GCUGGGCGCUGUGGUGCACACCUAUAAUCCCAGUGACUUGGGAAGCUGAGGCAGGAGGAUCUCAAGUUCAAAGCUAGUCAGCAAUUUAGCAAGGUUCUGAGCAACUUAGUGAGACCCUGUCUCUA